RNAcentral lists this ribosomal RNA (828 nucleotides) under uncultured Actinomycetes bacterium. RNAcentral's name for it is "bacterial SSU rRNA". It matches the Rfam family "Bacterial small subunit ribosomal RNA", at positions 70 to 914 of the family's 1533-position model. The record is from RNAcentral. Lineage: Bacteria; Bacillati; Actinomycetota; Actinomycetes.
AAACGGGUAGCAAUACCCGGAGUACAGCGGCGAAAGGGUGCGUAUGACAUGAAGAACGUACCCCUCCGUUCGGAAUAAUUCAGCGAAAGCUGGGCUAAUACCGGAUACGGCCGCGGCGACGCCUGUCGCUGCGGUGAAAGUCGCAAGACGCGGAUGGAGCGCUUCAUGGCCUAUCAGCUAGUUGGCGGGGUAACGGCCUACCAAGGCGAUGACGGGUAGUUGGACUGAGAGGUCGAUCGGCACACGGGGACUGAGACACGGUCCCGACAUCUAUGGAUGGCAGCAGUAGGGAAUAUUGCGCAAUGGGCGAAAGCCUGACGCAGCGACGCCGCGUGGGGGAUGAAGGCCUUCGGGUUGUAAACCCCUUUCAUGUGGGAAGAACAUUGACUUAAUCACAGGAAGAAGCACCGGCUAACUCCGUGCCAGCAGUUGCGGUAAGACGGAGAGUGCAAACGUUGUUCGGAUUUACUGGGCGUAGAGGGCACGUAGGCGGUCAGGCAAAUCAGUUGUGGAAUCCCGACGCCUACCGUCGGAACGGCAAUUGAAAAUACCUGGCUCGAGGGCAUGAGGGGUCGCGGGAACUCUUGGUGGAGCGGUGAAAUGCGUAGAUAUCAAGAGGAACGCCGGAGGCGAAAGCGCGCGACUGGCAUGUCCCUGACGCUGAGGUGCGAAAGCCGGGGGAGCAAACAGGAUUAGAUACCCUGGUAGUCCCGGCUGUAAACGAUGGACACUGAAUGGAGGAGGGUUCACCUUUCUCUGUUGCAGCUAACGCGUUAAGUGUCCCGCCUGGGGAGUACGGCCGCAAGGUUAAAACUCAAAGGAAUUGAC